This 223-nucleotide ribosomal RNA is filed under the name uncultured bacterium. Its description in RNAcentral is "partial 16S ribosomal RNA". It matches the Rfam family "Bacterial small subunit ribosomal RNA", at positions 111 to 334 of the family's 1533-position model. The record is from RNAcentral.
UAACGCGUGGAUAACCUGCCUCACACUGGGGGAUAACAGUUAGAAAUGACUGCUAAUACCGCAUAAGCGCACAGUACCGCAUGGUACAGUGUGAAAAACUCCGGUGGUGUGAGAUGGAUCCGCGUCUGAUUAGCCAGUUGGCGGGGUAACGGCCCACCAAAGCGACGAUCAGUAGCCGACCUGAGAGGGUGACCGGCCACAUUGGGACUGAGACACGGCCCAA